GCACAGUCAAGGGCUGGCUGGAGAAACCACCGUAGCUGCCAGCCCCACAGGGGAGGACAGGGGAGAUGUUCCAGUCACAGGCCUGUGGGCCACGCAGGCGAGACCCUCAAGCUGCGUCAGAGCAAACCGCCAGCAGGUGCUUCUUCUGCCUGAGCUCCUGGAGUCAGCAUGCAAAGCAGCCAGCUGUGUCUCUGGUGACAAGUGACUAUUCUCAAGCUCUUUGGAGCGUAGAGUCAUCCACGCAGAAAGCUCAGACCACGGUUGAGUGCAGGUAAAGUGAAAUGCCGAGUGCCCAGCAAUAGCUCAAAGGGCCAGAUGAAGGACGCAAAGGAAGGACCACAGGAUCUGCAGUUUCCCCGGAGAGAGGAGGAGGCCAGCGUGCCGGAGGAAGCUUCACAGCUCCAGAGCCCGUCGAUGGCAACACAACUUCUUGUCAUCCUUCCAGAGAGAGCAGACACUUGUGGCAGCAACUUGUCUCCUGCGCCUUGCUCUUCCUACUCUGUCCCAGAAAAAUGCCCUGAAGACGGAUGGCACAUUCCAGACAACAGAGAAAUCAAGAGCCAUUUACAAGUUUUGCUGUAAAAUGUAGGAUGCAGGUGUGUUUUGGUCUUGCUGU
This 616-nucleotide long non-coding RNA is filed under the name Capra hircus (goat). RNAcentral describes it as "lncRNA (ENSCHIG00000004683.1)". Lineage: Eukaryota; Metazoa; Chordata; Mammalia; Artiodactyla; Bovidae. The record is from RNAcentral.